UACGGAGGGUGCAAGCGUUAUCCGGAUUCACUGGGUUUAAAGGGUGCGUAGGUGGGCAAGUAAGUCAGUGGUGAAAUCUCCGGGCUUAACCCGGAAACUGCCAUUGAUACUAUUUGUCUUGAAUACUGUGGAGGUCAGCGGAAUAUGUCAUGUAGCGGUGAAAUGCUUAGAUAUGACAUAGAACACCAAUUGCGAAGGCAGCUGGCUACACAAAUAUUGACACUGAGGCACGAAAGCAUGGGGAUCAAACAGG
RNAcentral lists this ribosomal RNA (253 nucleotides) under uncultured bacterium. Its description in RNAcentral is "partial 16S ribosomal RNA". It matches the Rfam family "Bacterial small subunit ribosomal RNA", at positions 524 to 776 of the family's 1533-position model. The record is from RNAcentral.